Molecule: unclassified non-coding RNA, 331 nt
Filed under: Hevea brasiliensis (rubber tree)
Lineage: Eukaryota; Viridiplantae; Streptophyta; Magnoliopsida; Malpighiales; Euphorbiaceae
Source: RNAcentral
GACAUAUUUCCAAAAUUAGAGCUCGAAUUUGGAUUUUGAGCUAAACCCUUUUUCCCCAAAUGAUACUCAACGGUACUGUACGUCGGGAAAAGCUCAGCAGGAAUAUUGUUUUCGUUGAUUCCAAGAUAAGAUUUCGGAAACGGGUUUUUCCGGUAACAAAACGGGCAAACCCAAAUUCUCGAUUGGUAAUCAACACGAGCAUAUGGGUUUAAAACGGCGCCACAUUGGGUGCAUAUAAGAGGAUCAUAAGGAAGUACAGGGAGCUCGUUGAAAUGCAUCAACGGAGUACACAUAAUAGAUAGUGGGAUUAUCAGACCUGAAGCUUCGGAUU